Molecule: long non-coding RNA, 1017 nt
Organism: Neltuma alba
Lineage: Eukaryota; Viridiplantae; Streptophyta; Magnoliopsida; Fabales; Fabaceae
Exons: 5
Source: RefSeq, a predicted model, not a curated record
UAAGAACUCAUUUGCAAGCUCUCUCUUCUCUGUAUCUCCGUUUGAUUCUACCGUUCUUGUUCAUCAGCUUUUGAGCUUCGUCCAUGGCUGACCAAAACAACCAGCACCAUCUUCCUCAUGCUGAUUCCAUGGAUCAUAUCAGAAUAGAUAUUUCUGAUCCUCAAGUUCUCCAGGAGCCUGCAAAAGCAUCAUCUGCGAGCCCAAUCUGUCAACAUUAUGCAUGAUUAUUCAUCAAACGAGCGAUAUUAUUAUUGGAGACAUAGAGACUCGCCUCAGAGAAGCAUGAGGAUCGAUGCUGCUACACUAUAUAUUUCUCAUGUCAGUUUUGAGACUAGCUAAUGUCAAUGCAUUCUUCACUUGAAAUCUUUCUAAUUUGAAGAUCUAAAGUAAAGCCAUUGAUCUUUAUCGUAAAAGAGCUAGGGUUCUUUGAAGUAUAUUUGUUUUAAAGUGAUGAGAGAAAAAGAGAGGCAUGCUACAGUUUGGAUUCCGUCCUCUCUAUUUUCGGUUCCGCAAAACACACGUAUUCUUGAACAGAGCAAAGGACUUUGACUAAAAGGCCUGCAAAAGAAGAAGAGUCAAAAAAGCCCCCACCGACCCAAACAAUUUUGCAUUCAUAUGCACUAACUGCUUCAACUGAAUCCAAGGAUCUGACUUGAACGAUUCGCAGAGUCUUGGUGUACGUGAAGAGAGAGCUCAAGAUCUUAGUCCUGCCAUAAUCAAUUCCAAUCCUUCCCAUGAUUUGCCCCCGACAGGAUCGCUCACAGACAGUUCUAGCAAUGUCACUUCUGCAAACCCCCCUGUUAAUAAUCGUGCUCUGACCAAUCUGGCUGUUUCCUCAAAAGCAAAACAUGACCAGGUUCUGAUUUAUGUUGUGGUGGCUUGUUCUGCACUUGCCUUCUCUAUUUCUUCAACUGCUCUUGUGUUGCACAAGAAAAGGCCCUUGAUUGCCAAGAAGAUGCAAAGAGCUGCGUUUGUGAUUGGGACGUUUGGAUUGAUGGGAAUAAUGGGCAUGCUUCU